UCAGAACGAACGCUGGCGGCGAUGGAUUAGGCAUGCAAGUCGAACGGUGCAGCAAUGCAUAGUGGCGCAAGGGUGAGGAACGCGUGAGUAACCUGCCCUCAAGUUGGGAACAGCUUCUGGAAACGGAAAUUAAUACCGAAUGUGACCAUAGGAAGGCGAUCUUCUGUUGGUUAAAGGCCGCAAGGUCGCUUGAGGAGGGGCUCGCGUCCCAUUAUGCUAGUUGGUGAGGUAACGGCCCACCAAGGCGAAGAUGGGUAGCUGGUCUGAGAGGACGAUCAGCCACACUGGGACUGAGAACUGCCCAGACUCCUACGGGAGGCUGCAGUCGAGAAUUUUGGGCAAUGGACGAAAGUCUGAACCCCCAGCAAUGCCGCGUGCGGGAUGAAGGUCUUCGGAUUGUAAACCGCUGUCAAGUGGGACGAAACAAAUGACGGUACCGCUGAAGGAAGUCACGGCUAACUACGUGCCAGCCGCCGC
This 477-nucleotide ribosomal RNA is filed under the name uncultured bacterium. RNAcentral describes it as "bacterial SSU rRNA". It matches the Rfam family "Bacterial small subunit ribosomal RNA", at positions 24 to 518 of the family's 1533-position model. The record is from RNAcentral.